RNAcentral lists this ribosomal RNA (229 nucleotides) under uncultured bacterium. Its description in RNAcentral is "partial 16S ribosomal RNA". It matches the Rfam family "Bacterial small subunit ribosomal RNA", at positions 568 to 796 of the family's 1533-position model. The record is from RNAcentral.
UACGUAGGCGGAAUAUUAAGUCAGUGGUGAAAUCCUGCGGCUCAACCGUAGAACUGCCAUUGAUACUGACAUUCUUGAAUAUAGUUGAGGUAGGCGGAAUGUGUAAUGUAGCGGUGAAAUGCUUAGAUAUUACACAGAACACCGAUUGCGAAGGCAGCUUACUAAACUAUUAUUGACGCUGAUGUACGAAAGCGUGGGGAGCGAACAGGAUUAGAUACCCUGGUAGUCC